UAAGUGAGGAUCUUAAAGGCCGAAUAUCUAAGGUUUCCAGGGUAAAGCUGAUCUUCCCUGGGUAAGUCGGGGCCUAAGGCGAGGGCGAGAGCCGUAGUCGAUGGAUAACAGGUUGAAAUUCCUGUACUGCUUAUGGACAGAACUGUGGGGACGCAGAAGGAGAGCACGAGCCGGAAAUGGAAAAGCCGGUACAAGCGUAUAGCAGUCAUGCAGGCAAAACCGCAUGAAAAAUGUAAAGCGUUAUGUGGAUCGAACAUUAGUAGAGAAGCGUGUGAGCCAGCUGCCAAGAAAAGCCGCUAUUGUUUCAUAAGUACCCGUACCGUAAACCGACACAGGUGGAUGAGGAGAGAAUCCUAAGGCCGGCGGGAGAAGUGUUGUUAAGGAACUCGGCAAAAUGACUCCGUAACUUCGGGAGAAGGAGUGCCACAGAGAUGUGGCCGCAGAGAAAUGGCCCAAGCAACUGUUUAGCAAAAACACAGGUCUAUGCAAAACCGAAAGGUGAGGUAUAUGGGCUGACGCCUGCCCGGUGCUGGAAGGUUAAGAGGAGAGGUUAGAGCAAUCGAAGCUUUGAAUUUAAGCCCCAGUAAACGGCGGCCGUAACGAUAACGGUCCUAAGGUAGCGAAAUUCCUUGUCGGGUAAGUUCCGACCCGCACGAAAGGCGUAAUGAUUUGGGCACUGUCUCAACAACACACCCGGUGAAAUUGAAAUACCAGUGAAGAUGCUGGUUACCUGCGCCAGGACGGAAAGACCCCAUGGAGCUUUACUCCAGUUUGAUACUGGGAUUCGGUACUGUCUGUACAGGAUAGGUGGGAGGCUAGGAAAUGGUGACGCCAGUUGCCAUGGAGCCAACCUUGGGAUACCACCCUUACAGUACUGGGUUUCUAACCUGCAGCCGUAACCCGGCUGGGGGACAAUGUCUGACGGGGAGUUUGACUGGGGCGGUCGCCUCCGAAAGAGUAUCGGAGGCGCUCAAAGGUUCCCUCAGAACGGUUGGAAACCGUUCGAAGAGUGCAAAGGCAGAAGGGAGCUUGACUGCGACACCGACGGGUGGAGCAGAUACGAAAGUAGGACUUAGUGAUCCGGUGGUAUAAAGUGGGAUUGCCAUCGCUCAACGGAUAAAAGCUACCCUGGGAUAACAGGCUUAUCACUCCCAAGAGUUCACAUCGACGGAGUGGUUUGGCACCUCGAUGUCGGCUCAUCGCAUCCUGGAGCUGUAGCAGGUUCCAAGGGUUGGGCUGUUCGCCCAUUAAAGCGGUACGCGAGCUGGGUUCAGAACGUCGUGAGACAGUUCGGUCCCUAUCCGGCGUGGGCGUAGGAUAUUUGAGAGGAGCUGUCCUUAGUACGAGAGGACCGGGAUGGACAAACCUCUGGUGUAUCUGUUGUUUUACCAAAGGCAUGGCAGAGUAGCCAAGUUUGGCAGGGAUAAACGCUGAAGGCACCUAAGCGUGAAGCCCCCCUCAAGAUAAGAUAUCCCAUCUUCGGAGUAAGACCCCUUGAAGACUACAAGGUUGAUAGGCUUCAGGUGUAAGUGUGGUAACGCACUCAGCUGAGAAGUACUAAUAGGUCGAGGACUUAU
This 1577-nucleotide ribosomal RNA is filed under the name metagenome. RNAcentral's name for it is "bacterial LSU rRNA". It matches the Rfam family "Bacterial large subunit ribosomal RNA", at positions 1318 to 2925 of the family's 2925-position model. The record is from RNAcentral.